GGUCUGAUGGGAACUAAAGGCGAACCAGGAAUUCAGGGUCCUCGUGGACCUGCAGGACCAGUUGUAGUGCAAGGUAUUAUGGUGAGAAAUGCUUUUAUUACUUUAAAUCCUAAAAUUUGGAACAAGAUGAAAAUAUCAAAAUAUUUAUAUGUAAGAAUUAUUUUAUAUAAAGAAUACUUAAAUACCUUGAAUAUUCUUAUAUUCAUAUAUGUUUUUGUGUAUUAAUCUGAAAGGGACCUCCAGGCCCACAAGGCAGACCAGGACCCCCUGGACCCCCUGGAGAACCGGUUCGUAACAUUUUUUUUUUUUUUUUUUUUUUUACUAACAUGCUGAUAUUGCCUUUUUCUGGACAUUCCUAGAAACAUUAAGUUAAUAUCCAGGUACACACAAUAUGUUUGUUUUUGAUCUGCUAAUGAAAAUAGUCGAAUUACAAUACUGACACAGCACUCCAUGGGGAAUAAAAUUAAUAUUUGUUUGUACUGCGUCUCAUUUUCUAAUGUUGUAUCUAAUGCUGCUCAAAAUCAUGUUCUUUUUCAGACAGCACUACCUAUUGUUGGAGACAUGGGGACAUUAUUGAAGAACGCCUGCAGUGUGUGUCAGACCAGAGUACCAGGAUUGCCAGGGCAGAAAGGAGAAAAAGGUUCCCUUGGAACUCCAGGUAUCCCAGGAAUGGAUGGAGAAAAGGGGGAUCAGGGUCUUCGGGGCCCAGCUGGUAAUCCUGGAAAAGAGGGUCCGAAGGUAAGCCGCCCUAAAUCAGAGAUUAGAGAAGAGAAUCGUGUGAUUGGCAGACAUAUGAGCUUUAGCUAUAAUUCUGGAAGUGCAUUUCCUCUGUUACAACAAGGCAUUGCAGGGCAAAUAUAUUACACAUGGUGCAACAGUAGCAAAUAAUGUAGCAAAUAAUGGUUUGCAUACUUGUACAGUCGAGUGCCUGAAUGUGAGACAUUCAGUGACAGGCAAGAAUUGAGGCCAGAGAUAAACAUUAAUAAUAUAUGAGAGCAUUCUUAGAGAGAAACUAAAUCAAAAGAUUGUACUUACUGUCUCAACUAUUUUCCAUCUGUCUCGUUGUCAUAUAGGGAGUGAAGGGUGAGAGAGGCUUUGCUGGUCCGAUGGGGGACAAGGGUGAUGAGGUGAGUAAUCAGAGUUACACGGUGCAAUGCGACAAAUCUAAACUAAUCCUGUUCAGUUAGUGGAGUUGUCUGAUGCAUCAUACUUGACUACUGUACUGCUGCUUGUGUAACUAAAUUUUCCAGACUCUGCAUUUUAAAUGAUUUUAUUUGUUUGACCAGUUUGCUGUUUGCAAAGUAAUUUUAGUAAGUAAUUUUAAUUUUGUGUUGUUAAAGUUUAUCCUCAAUCUCAUAGUUAAUUGGUCCAAGGUUAGAGAAUGCAUUAUCAUACAAUACAAGUAUCACUACAAUUGUUUUUGUCUAUUUCUCUAUUCCCAGGGGUCCCCAGGUGUGCCAGGAUUGCCUGGAUCCACAGGCCGCAUGGGUCCACAGGUGAGAAUUUUCCAACAAAAA
Cyprinus carpio (common carp) is the source of this 1517-nucleotide long non-coding RNA. NCBI's taxonomy places the organism in Eukaryota, Metazoa, Chordata, Actinopteri, Cypriniformes, Cyprinidae. The record is from Ensembl.